Molecule: long non-coding RNA, 1397 nt
Organism: Sphaerodactylus townsendi
Lineage: Eukaryota; Metazoa; Chordata; Lepidosauria; Squamata; Sphaerodactylidae
Exons: 2
Source: RefSeq, a predicted model, not a curated record
AGGGGGCCGUGCAGAAAUGGCCUAAGUAACUGGAAGAUUAUUGUGUCACUAUUCACCAGCUGAAAAUCUGUCUCUACAUCCUUGUUCUGUACAAAACCAGUCUGAUCAACAGACUACCCUUUUAUCUUCUUUAAAUAUCUAACAGUUUGUCUUCAUAAAACAGAGAUAUUUGCCUGCUUACAUGUGAAAACUGAUAGAACAUUAUAACUAAGUAGCCAAAUUCUCUACAUAAUUCUUUGAAAGGCGAGUGAUAUUAAAUUCCAGAAGUGUGCAUAGCUUUGCAGUCUGAUUCUGUAUGAGGAAUCCUAAGCAGAUCUACUUAUACGGAAGUACCAUGUUCAAUUGGAUUUACUCUCAGAAAUGUAUCCUUAGGAUUUCAUCCUAUAUCCUUUCAAAUUGAUUGAGCUUACACAUGAAUUACUAGCUUGUCUGGAUUAUUGUGAAAAGGCCUCUCAUUAUGGUUUUGAUUACCUAACUUAGUUCUUACCAUCUCAUUUGGCCUCUGAUGGGUUAACAUUCCUUAAUGGUUGACAUUUUUUUCCACUCUUUGGAAAAUCACAUUCCGCACAGGCACAAGGAACAAGUUUGUUGCUGUUUGGAUUUGAGCAUAGAGAGUCCAGGAAGUACCCAAGAGCUGAAACUUGUGAAAGUGGGUCAGUUGAGCCCUGCUUGUUGACAAACACAUUGUGUACAAACAGGAAUAAGAACUGUAUUAACUGGACUGCUAGCUGAGAUUUAUUUUGUAACGAAGGUUUAUGUACAGCAAAAAAAUAUCCCACCUCUUUGCUGAUCUUCUGGUGGUGCUGGACUUCAUGCAGAACAGGAGCACCAAGGACAGUAUUUAAUUUGCUGAAUAUGGGCCAGCAUCAUGGCCACAGCUGUACAUGUUUAUGAAGGUGAAAGGAAGACCCAAUAGGAAUGGGAUUAGGCUGUAAUGCAAUGGCAAAUAGAAUGGCUCUAGAACUAGAACAUUUCUUUUAAAAGACGUCUUUUUUUCUGCUUAUCACUAGUCUAGAACAAAAGUAGUACAGAAGUAGGUUUUAAAUUUGUAAGAGGUCAAGUACAGGAUCAGUUUCAGAUAUCCUGAAUCUGGAAUUCCACUUCUUGUAUGUAUGUAUUUUAUCCAAACAUCAUUUGGCCUCAAUUACUUGUAAUGAAACUUGGUUUAUUCUUCAUUUGUGCUGAUGUGUUUGCCAAGUCAGGUGAUCUGAGACGAAUGAAACCUAUGUAGUUUAUUUUGCACCUGUAAUUAUCUGUCUUUUAUUUCCAAGAAUUUUGUUCUGUGCUGUUACAUUUAUUACUAUUAUGGUUUCCAAAAGAACUAUGUACACUGGUGUUGACUUUUGCUGUUUACUAUAUUAUGUGAAUAAUAAAUAUUCCCAAUAUUGUACAAUCUA